GCUGGCGGCGUGCCUAACACAUGCAAGUCGAGCGAGAAAAGGGGAGCAAUCUCCUGAGUAAAGCGGCGCACGGGUGAGUAACACGUGGGUAAUCUGCCCUGGAGUGGGGAAUAACACCGGGAAACCGGUGCUAAUACCGCAUACGAUCGCGAUGUCUGCGGACGUUGUGAUGAAAGGAGCAAUUCGCUCCAGGAGGAGCCCGCGGCUGAUUAGCUAGUUGGUGAGGUAAUGACUCACCAAGGCAACGAUCAGUAUCCGGUCUGAGAGGACGGUCGGACACACUGGAACUGAGACACGGUCCAGACUCCUACGGGAGGCAGCAGUGGG
RNAcentral lists this ribosomal RNA (327 nucleotides) under uncultured Acidobacteriota bacterium. RNAcentral's name for it is "bacterial SSU rRNA". It matches the Rfam family "Bacterial small subunit ribosomal RNA", at positions 35 to 358 of the family's 1533-position model. Lineage: Bacteria; Pseudomonadati; Acidobacteriota. The record is from RNAcentral.